GCUUGGGUGGCUCAGUCGGUAGAGCAUCUGACUUCAGCUCAGGUCAUGAUCUCACGGUUUAUGGGUUCGAGCCCCGCGUUGGGCU
Transfer RNA from Felis catus (domestic cat), 85 nucleotides. It matches the Rfam family "tRNA". From Rfam's summary of the family: Transfer RNA (tRNA) molecules are approximately 80 nucleotides in length. Their secondary structure includes four short double-helical elements and three loops (D, anti-codon, and T loops). The record is from Rfam. NCBI's taxonomy places the organism in Eukaryota, Metazoa, Chordata, Mammalia, Carnivora, Felidae.